RNAcentral lists this small nuclear RNA (23 nucleotides) under Arabidopsis thaliana (thale cress). Its description in RNAcentral is "snRNA_05841". The record is from RNAcentral. Lineage: Eukaryota; Viridiplantae; Streptophyta; Magnoliopsida; Brassicales; Brassicaceae.
CUUAGUCCGUUGGAGAUGGAUUC